RNAcentral lists this ribosomal RNA (847 nucleotides) under uncultured bacterium. Its description in RNAcentral is "bacterial SSU rRNA". It matches the Rfam family "Bacterial small subunit ribosomal RNA", at positions 59 to 869 of the family's 1533-position model. The record is from RNAcentral.
CAGUCGAACGAGUUCUCGUUGAUGAUCGGUGCUUGCACCGAGAUUCAACAUGGAACGAGUGGCGGACGGGUGAGUAACACGUGGGUAACCUGCCCUUAAGUGGGGGAUAACAUUUGGAAACAGAUGCUAAUACCGCAUAGAUCCAAGAACCGCAUGGUUCUUGGCUGAAAGAUGGCGUAAGCUAUCGCUUUUGGAUGGACCCGCGGCGUAUUAGCUAGUUGGUGAGGUAAUGGCUCACCAAGGCGAUGAUACGUAGCCGAACUGAGAGGCUGAUCGGCCACAUUGGGACUGAGACACGGCCCAAACUCCUACGGGAGGCAGCAGUAGGGAAUCUUCCACAAUGGACGCAAGUCUGAUGGAGCAACGCCGCGUGAGUGAAGAAGGCUUUCGGGUCGUAAAACUCUGUUGUUGGAGAAGAAUGGUCGGCAGAGUAACUGUUGUCGGCGUGACGGUAUCCAACCAGAAAGCCACGGCUAACUACGUGCCAGCAGCCGCGGUAAUACGUAGGUGGCAAGCGUUAUCCGGAUUUAUUGGGCGUAAAGCGAGCGCAGGCGGUUUUUUAAGUCUGAUGUGAAAGCCCUCGGCUUAACCGAGGAAGCGCAUCGGAAACUGGGAAACUUGAGUGCAGAAGAGGACAGUGGAACUCCAUGUGUAGCGGUGAAAUGCGUAGAUAUAUGGAAGAACACCAGUGGCGAAGGCGGCUGUCUGGUCUGUAACUGACGCUGAGGCUCGAAAGCAUGGGUAGCGAACAGGAUUAGAUACCCUGGUAGUCCAUGCCGUAAACGAUGAAUGCUAGGUGUUGGAGGGUUUCCGCCCUUCAGUGCCGCAGCUAACGCAUUAAGCAUUC